AAAUUAAGUGCUACUUUCAGUAGUUUCGGUAUGUAAGUGGUUUUUAACAGAAGGACGGGGUUAUCGAUUCGACGUGUUUGGAUUUCUGAGCCUACGAGAUUUGUAUUACAAAACAAAGACCUUAAAUUUUCUGUAAAUUGUAUUAUCACGUCUCUUAUACAAUUGAUAAAAAUAAAAUGGGUUCUGAAUAUUUUGAAACAAAUUCCCUAGACUUUACCGAAUUUUGGGCCAACACAGGCGUGAAUAGCGAAGUCCUUCGCGGCGCAAAGCUACGGGAGGAGAAACCCAACUGUAGUAAAAAUCAACAACAGUUUACACCAGUUAAUAUCAAUAUAAACGGCUCUGUAAAGAAGAUGAAGCAUGGCAAACGUAAACGAGGUACAAAUACAAAGAAGUAUAGCAGAUGUCCAAUGAGAAUAGCAGAGCUAGCUGUUCCGACUAAGCGUCAAUGUCUUGAUACCUGGAGAAAUAGAGGGAAGACUCUCCCUAACUUCAUGGUAGAAAGGUUGCGACAACACGUUAUGGAUGAAAGAGCAGUGGUCCAUAUUAAUGAUGCAAUUUAUUGCUUUAAAGCUCACAAAGUUAAACGAUCUAGACCAAAUAAAUUCAAGUCUAUAAAGAAAGGAAACAUCGAUAGAACAAAAUUAUUCUGCGCUAUUUUUGGACACAGAAUUGUAUUGAAGUUAUUGCCACCUGGACGAAUACCAGUACAUACGAGUUUGAGGAAUCUUACUGAAAUCGUAAACAAUGACAUUGAACAGCUUCUUGGAAAAAGGAAAAGAAAUACCAUUCAUAAAACAAUACGAGACGAAAUAUCAGAAAAGGUGACUGUUUGGAUUGCGAGUGUUCUUGACGACUCGGAUAUUAAGUUAAUGAUGGAUGACUUAGAAGACUUAGAAGAAAAGGAGGGGCAUGUAUGGGAUAUAAUCGAUGAUCUGAUUGAUGCAAUAGUAGUAGUAAGUCUUUGUAUUGAAGUAAAAGUACCAAUGUUUAUAUCAUGUAUUAAAUCAUGUUAUUUUCAGGAGAAUUGCAAAACUGAAAGCAUAUCGUACGUAGAUGAGAAAUAUCCAUCGGAAACAUGUAGCUUCAAUUCAAUUGACAGCAAUAUAUCACGUUCAUCAUUAAACAAAGAAGAAAAAAUUAGCUUUUAUGAUGACAUAAAUAUAAACAACAUAGAUACCGAAACAAAUGAAUACAAAACCAAUAUGAUAGAUGUUAUUUUAUUGGAUAUAAUUGACACUAUAUGUGGAUAUGACAAUCAAAUAAAUGGUUUUGUUCAAAAUCUUCUUGAUAACACAGUAUCAGAAGUCAUAGGCUUCAAUAACGAGGAAAUAAAUAUAAAUAAUGAAAUAAAUACAAUAGACAUGACUGGUAGCCAUUCGCCUAAAAUGAUUAUUUUAGAACAAGCCGAUUCUGUGAAUGAAUUUAUCUCUAAUAAUACUGACAAAAUAGUUUUUAAUGUAACAGAAACACCAGAAAGCAAUACUAGCAAAUUAGAAAACAGAGAAGAAACCAAAAAUACAGACGAACAAAAUGAUUUUGACAACCAAACUUACUACGAUGUACUACCCAAAGAUACAAGUACUCAAGGUGCAGAUAAUGAUAUCAUAAAAGAAAGAAACAAUAGUGAAAACCAAGAAAGCGUUACUAUUAGAGAACAAAUACAAUUGGAAAGUCCCGAAAGCAAUCAAACUGAACAAAUACAAGAGGACGACGCUUGGAAUCAGCUCACAGUAUCUGAAACAAAACUACCUAUCGAAUAUGGGUCAGAUACAAAUGUCAGUAUGGAAAAUAUUGAAUUAGAGCCAAAAGACUCAUAUGAAUGGCCCGAAGAUAGUUUUAAAAAAGUAAAAUUUUCUCAUACCAAUAUCGGAAACGAACAACAGUCAAUAGACGGUGAUUCCAGGAACAAUAACAAUGAGACCAGCUUUUUGCACAAAAAACUUUCAUCAAGCUCACAAAGAAACUACUUUAAACAUAUUAAUUUUUCCCCUCCAAAUACACACCUUCUAUAUAAUGUAGACGAAACAUGGCCUGAAGACUAUUUUCCUUUAACAACUAAACUUUCUGCCACCGUCAGCAAGUCCGUAAUAUCAUUAGGUUUCAUUAAUGAAGCAGAUGAGAAAUCAAUUCCCUCUCCCAUCACUUUAAAAGAGAGGGAACAAACUGUUGAAAAACAAUUUGUGGCAGAGCUUUCUGAAUUAAGUGAAGAAAUUUUCAAAGGCAGUAAUGAUUUACAAAAAACUAUUUUGCGAGAUAUAUGUAAUACAUAUACGGCUAUAGAAUUGAAAGAUGAAGAUACAUAUCAGACUUCACAAGGAAGUGAUUCUGUUUGCUUAAACAUAAAAAGGUCACAUGAAAAGGGUGAUAACGGAGACAGUAAAGCAAUACUUAUGAAUGAUAUCAGUAAAUCACAGAACACUCGAAAAUUAACAGUCAAGGUUUUGUCUUGUAUUAACAUUGCUUCGGAAAUAGAAGUUUUAUCAGCUAAAUGCCUCACCAAAGAAAAACAAAUACAAACAGAUUCAGAGAAAAUAAAGUUAAAUCCAAAAUACAAACCAAUACGACACCACGAGGUACGUAUUAUAUGCAAAGGACUUUAUAAUGUUGUUAUAAAUAUGGAAAAAUGGUUAAAUUGGAUAAUUUGUGUAACAAACAUCGUAACUGCAAAAUUACGGGAAAAUGGUAUAAAUAAGUCUAUGUUGACCACUGGUAUUUCAUAUCUCUUGAAUUUCAGUAAUAAAUUCUGCUUUCAGAUGGAAAUAGUAUAAAAACACAAAAAGAUAAAGAUAAUUAUUUGAAAGAGUGGUUACAAUUAAAGAAAAGUGUUGAUUCAGAUAGAAAAGUAUGGCAUCAUUUAUACAAAAGGCUCUCUAUUGGUAUAAAUAGUUACAAAAAUCAUUUUAAAGAGGACAAUGCUAAGAUCAAGUCUGUACAACUAAAAUCAUGUACAUGUAGGGGUUUUUAGCGGUUUUUAUUGAAUUGCAGUUUAUACAUCAAAUAUAAUAAAAAUAUUAUCUGCACAAUGUCUUUCACUUGUUACUUAAAAUGUACACUUAUUUGAUUAAAGUCAUAUUUUCUGACUUUAGUAUCAC
RNA transcript from Pieris napi, 3095 nucleotides. RefSeq lists it as uncharacterized. The transcript is spliced from 13 exons. The record is from RefSeq and is a predicted model, not a curated record. NCBI's taxonomy places the organism in Eukaryota, Metazoa, Arthropoda, Insecta, Lepidoptera, Pieridae.